This 26-nucleotide non-coding RNA is filed under the name Cricetulus griseus (Chinese hamster). Lineage: Eukaryota; Metazoa; Chordata; Mammalia; Rodentia; Cricetidae. The record is from RNAcentral.
AAUUAUAUGACUGGAAUCUUAAAGGU